UUAAUUUAACAGUAAAUUUUAUAUAUUAUGAAAAUAAAUAUCAUGUUAUUUUCUAUGUAUAAAAAAUUUAUUUAUUUUUACAUAUAAUUAUUUAUUUAUUUUUUUUUAGUAAUAAAUAGUACGCUAUUCGCUUCGUUUAUUUCAUUUAAAAAUAAUCUUAGCUAUAAAUAUGAAUUAGCCAGAAUUUGAACUUAAAUAUCAGAUAUCAAAUAUCAAAUUUUUUAUCAUUUGAUUUACAGAC
This 241-nucleotide long non-coding RNA is filed under the name Ananas comosus (pineapple). RNAcentral describes it as "long non-coding RNA (ACOM_LNC038159)". The record is from RNAcentral. Lineage: Eukaryota; Viridiplantae; Streptophyta; Magnoliopsida; Poales; Bromeliaceae.